CUUCACAUGGGAGAUGGCAUGCCUCCCCGAACCGCCUGACGGCUGAUGAUGCCUACCGAUCG
Molecule: non-coding RNA, 62 nt
Filed under: Burkholderiales bacterium
Lineage: Bacteria; Pseudomonadati; Pseudomonadota; Betaproteobacteria; Burkholderiales
Description: Fluoride sequence
Rfam family: Fluoride riboswitch aptamer (crcB RNA motif)
Source: RNAcentral